UACAGAGGGUGCGAGCGUUGUCCGGAAUCACUGGGCGUAAAGCGCACGUAGGCGGAUUGCUAAGUCAGGGGUGAAAUCCUGGAGCUCAACUCCAGAACUGCCUUUGAUACUGGUGAUCUUGAGUCCGGGAGAGGUGAGUGGAACUGCGAGUGUAGAGGUGAAAUUCGUAGAUAUUCGCAAGAACACCAGUGGCGAAGGCGGCUCACUGGCCCGGUACUGACGCUGAGGUGCGAAAGCGUGGGGAGCAAACAGG
RNAcentral lists this ribosomal RNA (253 nucleotides) under uncultured bacterium. RNAcentral's name for it is "partial 16S ribosomal RNA". It matches the Rfam family "Bacterial small subunit ribosomal RNA", at positions 524 to 776 of the family's 1533-position model. The record is from RNAcentral.